Molecule: ribosomal RNA, 113 nt
Filed under: Geotrichum sp.
Lineage: Eukaryota; Fungi; Ascomycota; Dipodascomycetes; Dipodascales; Dipodascaceae
Description: partial large subunit ribosomal RNA
Source: RNAcentral
CGGCAAAAGCUCAAAUUUGAAAUCGGCCACCAGGUCGAGUUGUAAUUUGUAGAUUGUAUCUUGAGAGCGGAUUAAAGUCUGUUGGAACACAGCGCCUUAGAGGGUGACAGCCC